RNAcentral lists this ribosomal RNA (491 nucleotides) under uncultured bacterium. RNAcentral's name for it is "partial 16S ribosomal RNA". It matches the Rfam family "Bacterial small subunit ribosomal RNA", at positions 899 to 1397 of the family's 1533-position model. The record is from RNAcentral.
ACUCAAAUGAAUAGACGGGGGCCCGCACAAGCGGUGGAGCAUGUGGUUUAAUUCGAUGCAACGCGAAAAACCUUACCAGGGUUUGACAUAACGUGAAUUUUUUGGAAAGAAAAAAGUGCCUUCGGGAACACGUAUACAGGUGGUGCAUGGCUGUCGUCAGCUCGUGUCGUGAGAUGUUGGGUUAAGUCCCGCAACGAGCGCAACCCUUAUUUUUAGUUGCUUGCAAAAGCUCUCUUGAAAGACUGCCAGUUAUAAACUGGAGGAAGGUGAGGAUGAGGUCAAGUCAUCAUGCCCCUUACACCCUGGGCUACACACGUGCUACAUUGGCCAAGACAAAAAGUCGCAAACCUGCGAAGGCAAGCAAAUCUUAAAACUUGGUCUAAGUUCGGAUUGAAGGCUGCAACUCGCCUUCAUGAAGCUGGAAUCGCUAGUAAUCGCUGGUCAGCUACACAGCGGUGAAUCCGUUCCCGGGCCUUGUACACACCGCCCGU